AUGAUAGCAUUCAGGGAUGCAUUGGAAGUUUGUGGUUUAGUAGACUUGGGAUUUUCGGGGGUUCCUUUCACCUAUGACAAUAAAAGAAGUGGCUCAAGCAAUGUCAGGGUGAGGCUGGAUAGGGCCGUUGCAACAAAUGAUUGGAGGAAUAUAUUCCCCUUUGCCUCUGUACAACAUAUUCUAAGUCCUUGUUCGGAUCAUGUGGCUGUACUUCUCAAGGGCGAGGCGGAUUCUGGACCGGUUGGGCCGAAACAUCACCGAUAUGAGAUCUUCUGGGAGCGGGACUCCACGCUGCCGGAGGUCAUUAAGAACGCGUGGGAAUCUGUUGGCAAUGUCCAAAAUUUGGAGCAGCUGCGAGAGGCGCUAACCAAGACAAUGGUGUCGUUGGGUUCUUGGUCC
This 399-nucleotide ribosomal RNA is filed under the name Triticum aestivum (bread wheat). Its description in RNAcentral is "partial small subunit ribosomal RNA". The record is from RNAcentral. Lineage: Eukaryota; Viridiplantae; Streptophyta; Magnoliopsida; Poales; Poaceae.